Long non-coding RNA from Candoia aspera, 476 nucleotides. RefSeq lists it as uncharacterized. The transcript has 3 exons. The record is from RefSeq and is a predicted model, not a curated record. NCBI's taxonomy places the organism in Eukaryota, Metazoa, Chordata, Lepidosauria, Squamata, Candoiidae.
GAGAGAGAGCGCAUAAGAGCGCUAGGCAGAAUGAUUCUAUAAGGCUAAUGAAGACAGAAACUGUGCCUGUAACAAUAUUAAGUUUAUUUUCUCUAGUGAUACGAAGAAGUGAGCAAUCUGUCACUAAUACACUAAGUGAAAUUACUUGUCUUGUUGGAAUUCCUGCUGACAGUCAGUCACUCACAGCAUUGACCUGAAAAUCUACCUGCUGACAAACAAAUUGCAGUGUCAAACUUUGAAAAGGUUUGAAUGUCUGCACUUUUGGAAGUCCUGGUCUUGUGAGAGUAAUAAAAUAAUGAAAAGGAUCACUGUGAGAAAGACAGAUUCCAUCCAAAGGACAAUAUGAGGAAAUUCUGCCCUAAAAAUGAUCGCUGAGCAAAUUUCUCCUUGUCACCAGUCAGGAUCGUAAAAAAAAUUCUGAAACCACUAGGACUGGCUUUUUGAUUGUGGUAUAAAGUAUUCUGUAACCCCAAAAA